UUUAACGUGAGGGUUUGAUCCUGGCUCAGGGCGAACGCUGGCGGCGCGCCUAACACAUGCAAGUCGAGGGGGAAAGGGUAGCUUCGGCUACCCGAGUACACCGGCAGACGGGUGAGUAACGCGUGGGUAACCUACCUUGGGGUCUGGGAUAACCACCCGAAAGGGUGGCUAAUACCGGAUACGUUCCUGAGGCGCGAGCCGAGGGAAGAAAGGGUGCCACUGCAUAGCAAGCACCUGCCCUAAGAGGGGUCCGCGUCCCAUCAGCUAGUUGGUGAGGUAACGGCUCACCAAGGCAACGACGGGUAGCCGGCCUGAGAGGGUGGUCGGCCACACUGGCACUGAGACACGGGCCAGACUCCUACGGGAGGCAGCAGUGGGGAAUCUUGGGCAAUGGCCGAAAGGCUGACCCAGCGACGCCGCGUGGGGGAAGAAGGCCUUCGGGUCGUAAACCCCUGUCAAGGAGGAAGAAGCCCUUACUGGUUAAGAGCUGGUAGGGGUUGACGGUACUCCUGGAGGAAGCCACGGCUAACUCCGUGCCAGCAGCCGCGGUAAUACGGAGGUGGCGAGCGUUGCCCGGAAUCACUGGGCGUAAAGGGGGCGUAGGCGGCCGGACGAGUCGGACGUGAAAGCCCGGGGCUCAACCCCGGAAUUGCGUUCGAUACUGUCUGGCUUGAGGUCCGGAGAGGCCGGCGGAAUUCCCGGUGUAGGGGUGAAAUCCGUAGAUAUCGGGAGGAACACCGGUGGCGAAGGCGGCCGGCUGGACGGCACCUGACGCUGAGGCCCGAAAGCGUGGGGAGCAAACCGGAUUAGAUACCCGGGUAGUCCACGCCGUAAACGAUGGGUGCUAGGUGUGGGGGGUUAAACCUUCCGUGCCGAAGCUAACGCAAUAAGCACCCCGCCUGGGGAGUACGGCCGCAAGGCUGAAACUCAAAGGAAUUGACGGGGGCCCGCACAAGCGGUGGAGCACGUGGUUUAAUUCGAUGCAAAGCGAAGAACCUUACCUGGGUUUGACAUGCUAGGGAACCCCUCAGAGAUGAGGGGGUGCCCGGGCUUUGCCUGGGAGCCCUAGCACAGGUGCUGCAUGGCUGUCGUCAGCUCGUGUCGUGAGAUGUUGGGUUAAGUCCCGCAACGAGCGCAACCCUUGCCCUUAGUUGCCAGCGGGUAGAGCCGGGCACUCUAGGGGGACUGCCGGGGACAACCCGGAGGAAGGGGGGGAUGACGUCAAGUCAUCAUGGCCCUUAUGCCCAGGGCUACACACGUGCUACAAUGGGCGGUACAGAGGGAAGCGAACCCGUAAGGGGGAGCAAAUCCCAGAAAGCCGCUCUCAGUACGGAUCGGGGUCUGCAACUCGACCCCGUGAAGCCGGAAUCGCUAGUAACGGCGGAUCAGCAUGCCGCCGUGAAUACGUUCCCGGGCCUUGUACACACCGCCCGUCACACCACGGGAGCUGGCUCUGCCCGAAGUCGCUAUCCCAACCCCCGGAAGGGGGAGGGAGGCGCCGACGGCAGGGCUGGUGACUGGGGUGAAGUCGUAACAAGGUAUCCCUACCGGAAGGUGGGGAUGGAUCACCUCCUUUCU
Molecule: ribosomal RNA, 1578 nt
Filed under: Thermodesulfatator indicus DSM 15286
Lineage: Bacteria; Pseudomonadati; Thermodesulfobacteriota; Thermodesulfobacteria; Thermodesulfobacteriales; Thermodesulfatatoraceae
Description: 16S ribosomal RNA
Rfam family: Bacterial small subunit ribosomal RNA
Source: RNAcentral